GGAAGACACCACGUCCUUCCCUGAAGCACCUUCCUGUUUCCAGAAUGUACUUGCCCUCUAUUUGGCUUUGUUUUGAUCAUGGGAGUGAGGUUUUAGAGCAGGAACAUGGACUCGGGAACACCCCUCAAACCACCCCAAUCUCACCAACCUGGUCCCCCACUGCCUCUCAAGCCCUUAAACCACCCCAGGAAGACACACAUGGGUCUUGGAGACUAGUUGAGACAGAGAGAAGGAGGAUGCUGAAGGCAAGGGCAGAGUUCUGAGCUGGAGGUAGAUGCUGGGAAGACUACUAACAUAGAAGACAGAGCUCUUCACCAAAACAGGGUCAACGAUGCAGGAUUCGAGUCAGAAAGGGGUGGAAAAAAUAGAGAAGCUCAGGUAAGAAAGAGAAGGGAAGUGACACAUCUGUUCAAAAAAGUGGAGCUGAGAGAAAGAGUCCUGGAGAACAAUGAAAAGAAGAGCUAGAAAACACAAAGCCUGAGGACCACGCUCGGAGCCCCGCAGCCGAGGAGCCGCUACAAACACAGCAGAGCCAGCUGGAGAGGCUCCGGGGGGAGGGCGGGAGAGGCCGCCGCAGCUCCUGGAGGGGGCUCUGCCUCCGUCCUUAUGCCCCACUCCCCUCCCGGGGACUGAUCCUUGUGGUCAAACACAGACACCCCCCCCAUCAGGAGUGGGGCCCCGAUACCUGUGACAGUGAGCCUGGUGCCGGGCCCAAAGUAGAGCGGCGAAUUAUAGGAACACAGCUGCAGACAGCUGUGCUAAAACCUGCCGGAGGUCUCCAGCCAGAGGGCAAGUCUUAGCUCCCUGGGAGUAGGGAUGGCCACCUGUCCCUGCCUGGAUUUGGGACUUGGGACCAAAGAGAUCCAUAAGGAGAGAAGCUUAAGCAUUCUACUGGGAGAGACGGAGUGGAAGAGGCUCAGGAGGGCAGAUCCCCACAUGUAAGGCAGGAGGGUGGACUAAGCACAGAGUAAGGAAGCUGAUUAGGGACUGGAGACAUAGAGAAAUCAACCCCAAGCCAUGGCAAACACAGUUUCUUGGAAGCCGCACAGGAAUGAGAAGUUAACUGCCCUUUCACCAGGGCUGAGAGGAGAAGCUAGAGUCCGCAUCCAAGGGACAAUGACCCUGCUACCCUGGUCCUGCGCCUUACCUAGGACAGAGAGUCGAGUUCCCUCUCCAAAGUGCUGUGGCUGGUUGCUCCACAGUACAACAUGAGUGUGGAAAACCCCAUAGUUGCUGGUGGGCGACCAUUCCGUCCAGAAGCUUCCACCCAGAACUCCUAGGGGCUCCAGCACGCACUCCGCGCACACACACCCUCUGAACCUUUUCCCUGCUGAAUUCUCUGUCCCUGCCCUCUCUAAGGAGUCCUUCUGGAACUCCAGCCUUACAAGACACUACCCCCAGGAAAGACUUUUACUUACCCAAGACAGAGAGCUUGGUUCCAUUGCCGAAAAAUAGUUUUUCAUUAGUUACACAACAGUAAAGCCUGGUAGAAAACUGCCCCUGGUGCCUCCCAUUCCUUCUCCCCAAGCCUGUCUGCCAGCUCUCUUCUCCCUUUCCUUAGCAGAAUCUUAACCCUGGGAGGUGGAGAGAGGACAACUGUGCAC
Equus caballus (horse) is the source of this 1604-nucleotide long non-coding RNA. The record is from Ensembl. Lineage: Eukaryota; Metazoa; Chordata; Mammalia; Perissodactyla; Equidae.